Molecule: long non-coding RNA, 1721 nt
Filed under: Canis lupus familiaris (dog)
Lineage: Eukaryota; Metazoa; Chordata; Mammalia; Carnivora; Canidae
Description: lncRNA (ENSCAFG00000051450.1)
Source: RNAcentral
AUUAAAAAUAUUGAUAAUGUUCCGUGAUAAAGGAGAACGAUAAAUACAAUCUUUUCAGUUAUUUGGUAUUAUCUAGAAAAAUUUGAAACAUGCAUAUCCUUUUUUUUUAAGGUCUUAUUUAUUUGAGAGAGAGUCAGCACACACAAACAGGGGUGAGGAGUAGAGGGAGAGGGAGAAGCAGACUCCUCACUCAGCAGGGAGCUGAUGUAAUGGGAUCAAGACUGGAGCCAAAGGCAGAAGCUCAAUUGACUGAGCCACCCAGGCACCCCAACAUGCAUAUGUUUGGCACAGAAAUUCCACUUGUAAGACAGUACAAAGAACUAUACAAAGUAUAGAAAUAUGUAUACAAUGUAUACAAAGAAUACAAAGAUACAUAUACACAAGGAUCCUUGUAGCUACAAAGACAGAAACAAAUGUCUAUCACCAGGGGACUAGAAAAAUUGAGACAAAUAUAUAAUAUAAUAUGUAACUAUUAAAUAUAUGAUAGAUAGGUGUAUUAAACAUGGGAAAAUGCCCAAGAUAAAAGCAUUAAAUGGAAAAAAGUCACAGAAGAGUAGAUACAUUGUAAUCCCUUUUCUGUAAAAAGGAAUUACUUUACCUCUCUUCCUCUCACACACAUAUACAUAUACCCUUACACACAUUAGCAUAGACAGUGGGAAAAAAUGUGGAUAUAGGUCAAAAAAAUUUUUUUAAGAUUUAUUUAUUUAUUUAAGAAAGAGAAUGAGCACACAGACCCACACAGAGGACGGGCAGAGGGAAAGGGAGAGUCUUAAGCACACUCUGUGCCCCAUGCAGAGUUCUAUCUCAACCACCCCAAGAUCAUGACCCCAGUCAAAACAGAGCAAUUUUUAAUGGUAUUUUAUACUGAGACACAGGAUUAUGGGUUUCUUUCCUUAUUUAAAAAGGCCUAAUUUUGCUGUACUCAAAUACGACUAGUAUAAUCGGGGGGGAGGGGGGUUAAAAAGCCAAGGAUUUUCCAAAAGCAAAAGACUGAGCGAUGAAAGUGUCAUGAUAGAAAGGUUAGGGUUGAAAAAAUAGGGAGCAGGAGCCUUAAAGUGAGGUCACAGUCAAGAAAGAGGAAGAUGGAGAGUAGGUAGAUCUACGGCCUACGGUAAAAAUGAGCCUUGAGGUACCUGGCCAGCUCAGCUGGUGAAGCUGCAACUCUUGAUCUCAGGGUUGUGGGUUUGAACCCAAGUUAGGUAUAGAGAAUACUUAAAAAUUUUAAAAAGAAAAAACGAGCCUUGGGAAACAUACAAGCAGUUGCUAUGGGAAAUGCCCUGAGAAGGCAAAGGAGUACCAUGAGGGACAGACAGAGCUCAACUCAGGGGGGAAGUGGGAACUGCUGUCAAUCAAGACAUCCCAUUUUCUUGACUCCUCCAAAACACUUAGCAGCCUAGGAUUGGUUAGCAAAAGAAGCCCUGGGAUCAAAUCCCGCAUCAGGUUCCCCGCAGAGAGCCUGCUUCUCCAUCUGCCUAUGUCUCUGCCUCUCCAUGUCUCUCAUGAAUAAAUAAAUGAAAUCUUAAAAAAAAAAAAAAAAAGAGGGCAGCCCGGGUGACUCAGUGGUUUAGCACCGCCUUCAGCCUAGGAUCGAGUCCCAUGUUGGGCUCUCUGCAUGGAGCCUGGUUCUCUCCUUUUGCCUGUGUCUCUGCCUCCUCUCUCUCUCUCUCUGCGUGUCUCAUGAAUAAAUAAAUAAAAUCUUAAAAAAAAAAAAAAAAGAAUUU